This is a long non-coding RNA of Oncorhynchus kisutch (coho salmon), 1984 nucleotides long. RefSeq lists it as uncharacterized. The transcript has 5 exons. The record is from RefSeq and is a predicted model, not a curated record. Lineage: Eukaryota; Metazoa; Chordata; Actinopteri; Salmoniformes; Salmonidae.
UACGAAUGUACGGUUUAUUAACCCAACUCCCCACAGGCUACUGUUUGGCCGCAGCCCACGACAAAAUAAAUGAAGGAUACCCUAUAAACCACCCGCGACCUUCUCUUGUGAAAGCCAGACAUAAGAGAGAGAACAAUGUUUAAACCUGGUCUAAACUUCCAAUGCUCUCUGCCCAACCCCCCUCCACGCCUCUCCACCAACCACCAGGAAGCCCGGCAUCAGAACGUUCCAGGAUUGGCAGAUAGCAGGUAGAUUGGCAUGUCGAACCCCGCGAACACUGGGUACUGGUAAGUACAACACAACCAACUAAUAGACUAACACAUAACACACAGCUGUCUGUGUGGGUCGCUACAAUAUUGAAUCAUUUCUGCCCACCGAAUUCAUAUUCGUUAUACACUAUAAAAAAUAUAAGACCGGCAUAUUAAAUAUUGCAAAAGAAAAUCUAAUGAUUUUUACUAAAAAUAAUAGGUUUCUGCUUUUGAACACAUUUUAGAUUAUAAUCCUUAAUUUAUGUGUUGAAAAAGAAUCCAAGAUCUAGUUAUGAACGUCAGUUGUGCUUGGAACAUUUCAACAGACGUCGUCUUGAUCUUUCUCAUCUGGAAAGGCCAUGUGGCAGGUGUAUCACUUCUAUCAUCAAGAAAUGGACAGUGACAGAUGGCUAACUACACCUAGCUAUCUAACUACACCUGUCCUGGCAGAAACCUUCUUGUUGUUCAGGUGUUCAGACGUUCCUGAGUACUGGACAGACCAUAUUUUCCAGAAUACAUUGACAAGGAAAACGCCAAGGAGUGUGGAGAUGCAUCACAGAUCUACCUGUCUGUUUCUCUCUUCCUCACCUGUCUCACUGCCUCCUUCACCUGUCUCAAGACCUCCACGCUGGUUUUCCGAUGACAGACAGACAGCUACCUAGCCUAAACCCCGCCUCCCCUCUGAAUCGGUAUCUCCCUGGAAUGUUCCAGAAUGCCUGAAUUUAGCAUGCCUGCUGCUGUUUGCGUUGUCUUUAUCAAUCAAUAUGACUAUAUGAUUUAAGUUAUGAUAUUGAUCAUUUUGGCUGAUGGACUGAGAGGAAUAAGCUGUUGACUGACUCCAUGCUUGAUGACUUUACAAUCACAGAGAGAUGUUGACUGACUCCAUGUUUGAUGACUUUACAAUCACAGAGAGAUGUUGACUGACUCCAUGCUUGAUGACUUUACAAUCACAGAGAGAUGUUGACUGACUCCAUGCUUGAUGACUUUACAAUCACAGAGAGAUGUUGACUGACUCCAUGUUUGAUGACUUUACAAUCACAGAGAGAUGUUGACUGACUCCAUGCUUGAUGACUUUACAAUCACAGAGAGAUGUUGACUGACUCCAUGCUUGAUGACUUUACAAUCACAGAGAGAUGUUGACUGACUCCAUGUUUGAUGACUUUACAAUCACAGAGAGAUGUUGACUGACUCCAUGCUUGAUGACUUUACAAUCACAGAGAGAUGUUGACUGACUCCAUGCUUGAUGACUUUACAAUCACAGAGAGAUGUUGACUGACUCCAUGUUGGAUGACUUUACAAUCACAGAGAGCUGUUGACUGACUCCAUGCUUGAUGACUUUACAAUCACAGAGAGAUGUUGACUGACUCCAUGCUUGAUGACUUUACAAUCACAGAGAGAUGUUGACUGACUCCAUGUUUGAUGACUUUACAAUCACAGAGAGAUGUUGACUUCAGAUGUUUGAUGUCUUUCAACCACCAAAGUUGUGCUUCUUUGGACAACCGUUCUAAAACCAUGAAAGGGCUUUUUGGCUUCUUCUUCUUCUUCAGUGUCUGAUAAGAGAACAUUAUAGUGUUUCUAUGCAAAAGGAAACAUACUUUAUUUGACUGUGGAAAGAUCCAGUAUCGUCAAUACGAUUCCAAAGGACUUGACUUUGCAAUAAGACCAUGGAAGACUCUUCAGUCUGUGGAUGAUGUGUUUUACAAAUGGUUUUGAUAAAAUAAUACUCUGGAUUCAUG